GCAAGCCGAGCGGUAGAAGUCCUUCGGGACUUUGAGAGCGGCGUACGGGUGCGUAACACGUGUGCAACCUACCUUUAUCUGGGGAAUAGCCUUUCGAAAGGAAGAUUAACACCCCAUAAUAUAAUGAUUGGCAUCAAUUAUUAUUGAAAACUCCGGUGGAUAGAGAUGGGCACGCGCAAGAUUAGAUAGUUGGUGAGGUAACGGCUCACCAAGUCUGUGAUCUUUAGGGGUCCUGAGAGGGAGAUCCCCCACACUGGUACUGAGACACGGACCAGACUCCUACGGGAGGCAGCAGUGAGGAAUAUUGGACAAUGGGUGAAAGCCUGAUCCAGCCAUCCCGCGUGAAGGAUGACGGUCCUAUGGAUUGUAAACUUCUUUUGUACAGGAAUAAACCUACUCUCGUGAGAGUAGCUGAAGGUACUGUACGAAUAAGCACCGGCUAACUCCGUGCCAGCAGCCGCGGUAAUACGGAGGGUGCAAGCGUUAUCCGGAUUUAUUGGGUUUAAAGGGUCCGUAGGCGGGCCUGUAAGUCAGUGGUGAAAUCUCAUAGCUUAACUAUGAAACUGCCAUUGAUACUGCAGGUCUUGAGUAAAUUUGAAGUGGCUGGAAUAAGUAGUGUAGCGGUGAAAUGCAUAGAUAUUACUUAGAACACCAAUUGCGAAGGCAGGUCACUAAGAUUUAACUGACGCUGAUGGACGAA
RNAcentral lists this ribosomal RNA (700 nucleotides) under uncultured bacterium. RNAcentral describes it as "bacterial SSU rRNA". It matches the Rfam family "Bacterial small subunit ribosomal RNA", at positions 57 to 757 of the family's 1533-position model. The record is from RNAcentral.